This is a non-coding RNA of Phrynosoma platyrhinos (Desert horned lizard), 72 nucleotides long. The record is from the annotation of a GenBank genome assembly. Lineage: Eukaryota; Metazoa; Chordata; Lepidosauria; Squamata; Phrynosomatidae.
GCCAGUGUGGUUUAGUGGUUUGAGCAUUGGACUGUGACUCUGGAGACCAUAGUUUGAAUCCCUGCUCAGCCA